UGGGAGUUUAGCCCAGUGGUAGAGUGGUACAGUGCUUGCCUGGCACGUGUGAGGCCCUGGGUUCAAUCCCCAGCAUCUUAA
This 81-nucleotide transfer RNA is filed under the name Marmota monax (woodchuck). Its description in RNAcentral is "tRNA.Ala". Lineage: Eukaryota; Metazoa; Chordata; Mammalia; Rodentia; Sciuridae. The record is from RNAcentral.